AGCAGCAGCCACGGUAAAACGGAGGGGGCUAGCGUUGUUCGGAAUUACUGGGCGUAAAGCGCACGUAGGCGGCUUUGUAAGUUAGAGGUGAAAGCCCGGAGCUCAACUCCGGAAUUGCCUUUAAGACUGCAGAGCUAGCAGGUGAGAGAGGUGAGUGGAAUUCCGAGUGUAGAGGUGAAAUUCGUAGAUAUUCGGAAGAACACCAGUGGCGAAGGCGGCUCACUGGCUCAUACUGGACGCUGAGGUGCGAAAGCGUGGGGAGCAAACAGGAUUAGAUACCCGCGUAGUCCCUGUCUCUUAUAC
RNAcentral lists this ribosomal RNA (303 nucleotides) under uncultured bacterium. RNAcentral's name for it is "partial 16S ribosomal RNA". It matches the Rfam family "Bacterial small subunit ribosomal RNA", at positions 507 to 807 of the family's 1533-position model. The record is from RNAcentral.